CAGUCGCCGCGGGAAUACAGAGGGUGCGAGCGUUAAUCGGAUUUACUGGGCGUAAAGCGUGCGUAGGCGGCUUCUUAAGUCGGAUGUGAAAUCCCUGAGCUUAACUUAGGAAUUGCAUUCGAUACUGGGAAGCUAGAGUAUGGGAGAGGAUGGUAGAAUUCCAGGUGUAGCGGUUAAAUGCGUAGAGAUCUGGAGGAAUACCGAUGGCGAAGGCAGCCAUCUGGCCUAAUACUGACGCUGAGGUACGAAAGCAUGGGGAGCAAACAGGAUUAGAUACCCGCGUAGUCCCUGUCUCUUAUCA
This 301-nucleotide ribosomal RNA is filed under the name uncultured bacterium. Its description in RNAcentral is "partial 16S ribosomal RNA". It matches the Rfam family "Bacterial small subunit ribosomal RNA", at positions 509 to 809 of the family's 1533-position model. The record is from RNAcentral.